GUUGUAUAGUCAAGUAAUUAAGUGCAUGUGGUGGAUGCCUUGGCAGUCAGAGGCGAUGAAAGACGUGAUAGCCUGCGAAAAGCUCCGGGGAGGCGGCAAAUAUCCUUUGAUCCGGAGAUGUCUGAAUGGGGGAACCCACCUACUUUAAGGUAGGUAUUGCAACAUGAAUACAUAGUGUUGCAAGGCGAACGAGGGGAAGUGAAACAUCUCAGUACCCUUAGGAAAAGAAAUCAAUUGAGAUUCCCUCAGUAGCGGCGAGCGAACGGGGAUCAGCCCAUUAAGUUAUGUGUGUUUUAGUGGAACGCUCUGGGAAGUGCGAACGUAGAGGGUGAUAUUCCCGUACACGAAAGGGCACACAUAAUGAUGACGAGUAGGGCGAGGCACGUGAAACCUUGUCUGAAUAUGGGGGGACCAUCCUCCAAGGCUAAAUACUCCUGACUGACCGAUAGUGAACCAGUACCGUGAGGGAAAGGCGAAAAGAACCCCUGUGAGGGGAGUGAAAUAGAUCCUGAAACCGCAUGCAUACAAGCAGUGGGAGCACCUUCGUGGUGUGACUGCGUACCUUUUGUAUAAUGGGUCAGCGACUUAUAUUCAGUAGCAAGGUUAACCGUAUAGGGGAGCCGUAGAGAAAUCGAGUCUUAAUAGGGCGUUUAGUUGCUGGGUAUAGACCCGAAACCAGGCGAUCUAUCCAUGAGCAGGUUGAAGGUUGGGUAACACUAACUGGAGGACCGAACCCACUGUCGUUGAAAAGCCAGGGGAUGACUUGUGGAUAGGGGUGAAAGGCUAAUCAAGCCUGGUGAUAGCUGGUUCUCCCCGAAAGCUAUUUAGGUAGCGCCUCGGACGAAUACCAUAGGGGGUAGAGCACUGUUUCGGCUAGGGGGUCAUCCCGACUUACCAAACCGAUGCAAACUCCGAAUACCUAUGAGUACUAUCCGGGAGACAGACUGCGGGUGCUAACGUCCGUAGUCAAGAGGAAAACAAUCCAGACCGCCAGCUAAGGCCCCAAAAUCAUAGUUAAGUGGGAAACGAUGUGGGAAGGCAUAGACAGCUAGGAGGUUGGCUUAGAAGCAGCCACCCUUUAAAGAAAGCGUAAUAGCUCACUAGUCGAGUCGGCCUGCGCGGAAGAUGUAACGGGGCUAAAACUAUGUGCCGAAGCUGCGGANNNNNNNNNNNNNNNAUGCUGGAGGUAUCAGAAGUGCGAAUGCUGACGUGAGUAACGACAAAACGGGUGAAAAACCCGUUCGCCGAAAGACCAAGGGUUCCAGUCCAACGUUAAUCGGGGCUGGGUGAGUCGACCCCUAAGGCGAGGCCGAAAGGCGUAGUCGAUGGGAAAAUGGUUAAUAUUCCAUUACUUCUGUGUAAUGCGAUGAGAGGACGGAGAAGGCUAAAUCAGCCUGGCGUUGGUUGUCCAGGUGAAAGGAUGUAGGCAUGUAUCUUAGGCAAAUCCGGGGUACUCUAUGCUGAGAUCUGAUAGCAAGCUGUACUUGUACAGCGAAGUGGUUGAUGCCAUGCUUCCAGGAAAAGUCUCUAAGCUUCAGUUACACAGGAAUCGUACCCGAAACCGACACAGGUGGUCAGGUCGAGUAGACCAAGGCGCUUGAGAGAACUCUGCUGAAGGAACUAGGCAAAAUGGUACCGUAACUUCGGGAGAAGGUACGCUGUUGUUGGUGAUGGAACUCGCUUCCUGAGCUGACGACAGCCGCAGAAACCAGGCCGCUGCAACUGUUUAUUAAAAACAUAGCACUCUGCAAACACGAAAGUGGACGUAUAGGGUGUGAUGCCUGCCCGGUGCUGGAAGGUUAAUUGAUGGGGUUAGCGUAAGCGAAGCUCUUGAUCGAAGCCCCAGUAAACGGCGGCCGUAACUAUAACGGUCCUAAGGUAGCGAAAUUCCUUGUCGGGUAAGUUCCGACCUGCACGAAUGGCAUAAUGAUGGCGGCGCUGUCUCCAGCAGAGGCUCAGUGAAAUCGAAAUCGCUGUGAAGAUGCAGUGUACCCGCGGCUAGACGGAAAGACCCCGUGAACCUUUACUGCAGCUUGACACUGAACUUUGACCUUACUUGUGUAGGAUAGGUGGGAGGCUUUGAAGCUGGAACGCUAGUUCCAGUGGAGCCGUCCUUGAAAUACCACCCUGGUAAUGUUGAGGUUCUAACUCUGUCCCGUGAUCCGGGACGAGGACCGUGUCUGGUGGGUAGUUUGACUGGGGCGGUCUCCUCCUAAAGAGUAACGGAGGAGUACGAAGGUGCGCUCAGCGUGGUCGGAAAUCACGCGUAGAGUAUAAAGGCAAAAGCGCGCUUAACUGCGAGACCCACAAGUCGAGCAGGUACGAAAGUAGGUCUUAGUGAUCCGGUGGUUCUGUAUGGAAGGGCCAUCGCUCAACGGAUAAAAGGUACUCUGGGGAUAACAGGCUGAUACCGCCCAAGAGUUCAUAUCGACGGCGGUGUUUGGCACCUCGAUGUCGGCUCAUCUCAUCCUGGGGCUGAAGCAGGUCCCAAGGGUAUGGCUGUUCGCCAUUUAAAGAGGUACGCGAGCUGGGUUUAGAACGUCGUGAGACAGUUCGGUCCCUAUCUACCGUGGGCGCUGGAAAUUUGAGAGGAUCUGCUCCUAGUACGAGAGGACCAGAGUGGACGAACCUCUGGUGUACCGGUUGUGACGCCAGUCGCAUCGCCGGGUAGCUAUGUUCGGAAGGGAUAACCGCUGAAAGCAUCUAAGCGGGAAGCCUACCUCAAGAUAAGAUUUCCCUAGGACUUUAUGUCCUCUAAAGAGCCGUUCGAGACUAGGACGUUGAUAGGUUGGAUGUGGAAGCAUAGUGAUAUGUGAAGCUGACCAAUACUAAUUGCUCGUGAGGCUUGACUAUACAACACCCAAGCAGUUG
RNAcentral lists this ribosomal RNA (2871 nucleotides) under Acinetobacter baumannii. RNAcentral's name for it is "bacterial LSU rRNA". It matches the Rfam family "Bacterial large subunit ribosomal RNA". The record is from RNAcentral. Lineage: Bacteria; Pseudomonadati; Pseudomonadota; Gammaproteobacteria; Moraxellales; Moraxellaceae.